Non-coding RNA from Ictidomys tridecemlineatus (thirteen-lined ground squirrel), 1795 nucleotides. The record is from RefSeq and is a predicted model, not a curated record. NCBI's taxonomy places the organism in Eukaryota, Metazoa, Chordata, Mammalia, Rodentia, Sciuridae.
UUUUAGCCUUGAGAAAGACCGUCCCAAGUUUACAUCAUGAUAUCUGUUAGUGGACAUGCAAAACUGUGACAGAUCAAACUUCUAUACAAAGGAGGAAUCCCAAUGGGGACUUUCUGCCCCAAAUAUGUUUGCCUUAAGUGCCACGAUGCUUGCAAAUUAUUUCUUGGACUUGGACAAUCUGUCCCGGAGUCUCUGAGAGACCUAUCAAUGCAGGCAUAUGGAUACCAAUGUGGAUUCACUGUUUGACUUCUUUUCUCUGAGAAAGAAAGAAGAUGCCGAGCAUCACAAGAGGAACAAGUUUCUUAAAAAUUGAAUUGAGCGUGGGGCUUGAUGGGGAAAUCCACAAAUCUUGGUUCUGAAAGGAUCUUGUGCCUGCCACGUAGCUUUGACCAACGUACCCCAGCUGCCUUCUGUGACAUCGCAUCUCCCAGAGAUCCUCAGAGGGACAGGUCCUAAUCUCAAAAAAGCUUUCUUAUGCUGAUGCAGUUGACCAGAAAUUCCUUGGGAGGACAGCUGGACUCUGUCUCAGAUGUGUUCUCCACCCUUCCCUGCGUGACUCUGGACCACAGGAAUGAAUGGUGGUUUCCAGAAGAGCCCAGCCCUCCUGUCUUCCUCAAUUCCCCACUCCAACAGGGAGACUGUGGCAAGAGAUGGGAGCACGAGAGGAUGGGGAACCAAAGCUUUGCUCCUUCUCACUCUACUUUGAUGGGCAUCACUAGUAGCAACCACAUCUGUCCAGGAUGCAGCUUCUACCAAAUGGCACCCAUUGUGGUUCUAGAAUCAUCCAAGAAGCCAGCGAUGGGGGUCUGAUAACACCAUCUUUCCCUAUGUCCCUCUUGCUCGUCCUCAGGUUGCUAAUCUCUCAGUGUCUUACUGUCCUAUCAUGUCAGUUCUUCAAUCACCUAUGUCACCAAUCCCCUAUCUUAAAUUCCCUCUGUUGGAAAUUCCCAGUGUGAUCAUUAUUCCCUGAAGGUUCCCAGGCAAUGUGAGCCCCACUUAGCAUGUCAGGGAGUGAGGAGCAAGCUGAAACCGUGCUGGCAAAGUGUGUUGAUCAGAGCCUGGAAGGAUCACUCACAAGGCAAACGUCCAGCGGCACUAACGCAGCAAUGCUCAUUAUCGGGGGCAACAUGAAGAUCAGGAGCAUCAUACCAUAAAGAGGGAAAUGAAACGUGGACUUAAGACUCAUCAACCUGAGUUCGAAUUCAGCUUUGCCACUUACUGCCUGGCUGAUUUUAAGCAAACUAUCCUUUCUCUUGGGCAAUUUCAUCAUCUUUAAUAGGCACAGAACAAUGCCAAACUCUCCGAGUGUUUACAAGAUUAAAGGAGUGAUCCAUAAAGGGGACAGCAUCUGCUCUUACCUCCCAGAUCCAAAAGGUGAAGACAGAUGUUUAGAAAAGUAACUUCCCUGUGAGGAUGAUCAGGAUUAAAAUCAAGUUGAGUAAAGCACAGUUCACUCCCCGUAGUUACCUCACAGGGAGAUUUUGAAGGUGAAAUGAAAACAAAGUUCCCAUUAUUAUUUAAUAGGUCCUCAGCUACCUUGAUUUCUUUUUCCGUCCCUCCCAUUAAGUCUGAGAUUUCUAGACAAGUCCCGGGAAGUAUAGGUGCAGAACAGAGCAGAGUUUGCAUUCUGCUAAGCCAAGGUUUUGUGGGUUCCCCCAACAUCUUAAGGGGACAAUCGCCUGUCAGAUGGCCCUCCAUGUGGAGAACAGCCCUGAGUGCUUCCAGACCCCACGUGUUCGGCCCAUGGAUCACAAGGCAUUGUUAUUUCCCACUAAUAAAUCCACCCUACCACCAA